CACACCGCCCGUCACGCCAUGGAAGUGGCGAGCGCCCGAAGUCCGUGUCGGGACCCGCAAGGGACCAAGCGGCCGAAGGCAAGCGUCAUGACUGGGGCG
RNAcentral lists this ribosomal RNA (99 nucleotides) under uncultured bacterium. RNAcentral's name for it is "partial 16S ribosomal RNA". It matches the Rfam family "Bacterial small subunit ribosomal RNA", at positions 1386 to 1482 of the family's 1533-position model. The record is from RNAcentral.